UACGUAGGGGGGCUAGCGUUGUCCGGAAUCAUUGGGCGUAAAGAGCGUGUAGGCGGCCCGGUAAGUCCGCUGUAAAAAGUCAAAGGCUCAACCUUUGAAUGUCAGUGGAUACUGCCGGGCUAGAGUCCGGAAGAGGAGAGUGGAAUUCCUGGUGUAGCGGUGAAAUGCGCAGAUAUCAGGAAGAACACCCGUGGCUAAGGCGGCUCUCUAGUACGGUACUGACGCUGAGACGCGAAAAGCGUGGGGGAGCGAACAGG
RNAcentral lists this ribosomal RNA (257 nucleotides) under uncultured bacterium. RNAcentral's name for it is "partial 16S ribosomal RNA". It matches the Rfam family "Bacterial small subunit ribosomal RNA", at positions 524 to 776 of the family's 1533-position model. The record is from RNAcentral.